ACCUACGUACUUGUCUUGAUGUCACACACACCAAUGACUCGAGACUAGUCACUCUCCCUGAGAGAAGAUACAACACGUACUGAUCUUAACGGACUGUCAAUGCCCAAUUGGCAAUCCUAUGAUCAGGAACGUUUAGGACGUGUCUACGAAAGAAUGGUCUCAUGAAUCUAACUUCUUUAGAUCGCAUUCUCCCAAUCACACAUUCCUUGGACUUUAUCGUUUAAGCAUAUAACAUUUAUAUGAGACGGCUCAAACAAUAAUCUUUGCCCUUUAUAGUUAAACUAGAUUAGUUUAACAUGUGAAAUGUCUGUAAAGUAUCAUCAUAUGAUUGGUUUUAGGGCACAUUUCCAACACACACGUUGGCCAAGACUUGCCCUCACGUGCGCCUACACUCAAGCCCACAUGCCGACCUACACACUGUUUGGUUUUGGGAUCCGAUUGGGUCUGGGCCUUGGGUUUUUUGGGUUGGGCCGGUUCAAAGGAUUUAGGCUGAGAGUCUUGGGCCUAGCUACCUGGCCUAAAGG
Molecule: long non-coding RNA, 524 nt
Filed under: Malus domestica (apple)
Lineage: Eukaryota; Viridiplantae; Streptophyta; Magnoliopsida; Rosales; Rosaceae
Description: long non-coding RNA (MDOM_LNC010729)
Source: RNAcentral